AAAUUCACUAUGGAGGCUACUAUUGAUCCCAGCAAAGGGAUACUUGUCUAUGAGGAGCCUGGCAGGCCAACCUGGGUGAGGUCCAGCUCUCCCCACCCUCUGAAGGACAUAAUGAUGGGGAUAGCUCUAUACAGGCUGCCUGCCCGCCCUGCUGGUAAUUAUGAACCCCGUCCCUAUGGCACAUAAUUCUACACAAUUUGUUCCAAAUCUGACAGCGGUGGAUCUCGAACACAGGGGAACCUCUGUGGAAUGGUCAGCAGCACAUCUAUCAGCACUAACCAAAUUCCAACCAAAGGCAAAAAAAUUCCACUGGCCAGCAUUUCUGCAGCUCUGAGGAGUAAUGAUGACUCAUGUGCACAAUGAUGACUUUUCCA
Non-coding RNA from Phascolarctos cinereus (koala), 374 nucleotides. Lineage: Eukaryota; Metazoa; Chordata; Mammalia; Diprotodontia; Phascolarctidae. The record is from RefSeq and is a predicted model, not a curated record.